Eucalyptus grandis is the source of this 467-nucleotide long non-coding RNA. RefSeq lists it as uncharacterized. Lineage: Eukaryota; Viridiplantae; Streptophyta; Magnoliopsida; Myrtales; Myrtaceae. The transcript is spliced from 3 exons. The record is from RefSeq and is a predicted model, not a curated record.
CUCAUCCUCCCAUCUCUUAUCAGAAUUUUAUGCUUCCUCUUGAUUUUCAUGACCCUUCCCUUGGCCGUGAUCCCGUCGCUGUCUUGCGCGAAGAGCUUCGAUCACGCAGGUGACGCGAGCCCGCAUGACCCAGGCAACGGCCCUAGAUGCAGACGUCGCUGAUUUGAAUGAUUGAAGCUCACAGCCACUUGAUAAAGAACGAAUGGUCUUCGCAAUGAUAAGAGACGCGUGAUAGCGGAUCAUCUACUUUGCAAAGCACUUUCCUGGUUUUUCUAUUUAAUGUAUUCGAAAGCGUCUGUCUAAGUUAAAAUUACGGAGAAUAUUUCGAUUCUAGCAAGUACCCUGUAAGAAUUAAGAAUUUAUGCAUGGAUUUUCUAUUAAUGUAUUUGAAAGUCUCUGUGCAAGUUAGAUUACGCAAGAGUAUUUCGAUGCCAGGAAGUGAGCGAGCAAUGCAAGAAUUCUAUGCA